ACCCACAGGCAGGCACUGCAUCAGGGUCUCCCUCCUGUCCCAUGGCCCCCAGGUGUCCUGCGGCCCCACACAGCCUCCUUCCACGGCGCCAGCCAGGCCUUGUGCCCAUCUCCACUCCCUUGCCCUCACCUGUCCUGACCCACCACACCUUGGCGGCCUCCUCUCGGGGCUUCCUGGACUCCGCCGCGCUGCACCCACCUCCGCCCUCAUCACCCAGGAGGCCUUCCCCAGCCUGGCCCGACUCAGGCUCCAUAGCCUUUCACCACCCUCCUGGCUGCUGGCAGUGAAAUUCACAGGAGCUCCCUCCGGGGCAAGGGUGCCUCCGCCUCCUCCAUGGCAGCAUCCCCAGCCCUGCACGGGGCCCUCAGCGAACACAUGGGCUGAAUAAAUGAGUGACUGUAUGAGGGACGAAUGAACACAUGAAUGAGAGAAUGGCACUGGGGGUCCGUGAACAGCUUUGUUGCAUUGAAGACGGUGAAGGAUUUUCAUCCCGGUCCAAGCACGGAGGCCUCUCUAGAAACCGUCCCUUCCAGCUCCAUGAGGGGUGAACUCUGAGCUCAGAGGCCAUGGGGCGAAGUGCAGAAAAUGGCUUUAAACUCUGGGAGGAGGAAGGAAGCCACCCUCCAGAAAGGAGUAAGAACCGCUCUGGAACAUUCCCAAGAAAGGUCGCUGGGGGGCAGACCUGAGUGGCUACGCGGACCCGGCGGACCCGGCGGACCCAGAUCCCCCGCAGGGCAGCCCCUGCAGCCAGCGGGCUCCGACUCUCGCUCUUCAGCGAACACCGCCCUUGGCGCCACGCCCACCUCCACCCGCGGCCACCUUCCUUCCCUCCCACCGCCGGACCUUCAAGACAGGAUCUACCCCGGGCGGCCCCCAGCACGGGUCUCAGCCCCCUCCAGACUGGGGUUCUCGCCACCCUGCACUGAAAUGGCGGCAGCCAGCUCCCUCCUGCCGCAGCCGGUGGCAGCCAGCUCCGGGCCUGGCUGGCCCCGCCCACCCUGUGUCUCGCGUGGCACCCACUGCGCUGUUCCUGUCCCGCCUGUCUUAUCGUGACCUCACCCGGCUCCAGACUCUCACAUGUUUACGCCUUCAGCCCUGCCCAGCCCUGGACCCCAAGUCCCCUCCAGUAUUUCUUUUUCCUUUCUUUUCUUUUCUUUUUUUUCUUUUUUUUUUUUUUUGAGAGAGUUUCGCUCUUGUCGCCCAGGCUGGAGUGCAGUGGCGCGAUCUCUGCUCACCGCAACCUCCGUCUCCCCAGUUCAAGCGAUUCUCCUGCCUCAGCCUCCCAAGUAGCUGGGAUUACAGGCCUGUGCUACCACGCUUGGCUAAUUUUGUAUUUUUUACGGGGUUUCAGCAUGUUGGUCAGGCUGGUCUCGAACUCCUGACCUCAAGUGAACCAUCCGCCUUAGCCUCCCAAAGUACUGGGAUUACAGGCGUGAGCCACUGCGCCUGGCCAUCCCCUCCAAUAUUUCUGAGGCCACCUGCCCAAAGGGGGGUUGGGUGGAGAGGACGGGGCCAGCAGCAGCAGGCCUGGGCCAGGAGACAGGCACACACCUCCGCGGUCUCUGGCUUGUCUAUGUCCACACAGCGGAAAGACCUCCAACCCCCAGCCACCUGCAGCAGCCCCACAUCUCCACUGGGUCACCCUGUUGAGAUCAAGAAUGCCUCCUCCAAUGUCCCAACCCAUGAGGGCUUCUUGGAGCUGAGCCAGGGCACCCGCCACUUCUGGAUGGGGGCUCCUCAUGACUUCUGACCUCUGUCUCGCUGGUUGGCAAGAGAAGACUGGACUCCUUCUGCAGGCCUCAGGGCAGAGGCAGAUGUCAGCCCCCAGGGAUGUCACUGCCAGAGCCCCAGAUGCCCCAAGCCACCCGGACCCCCCCUCCCCCUUGCAGUAUCUCUGCUACAAUAAAAUGUACACAGAUCUGAACCCUCUCACCUGGGCGACUGCCAAUGUCCCCUACGGCCCUAGACCCCGCCCCCAGGAGCCCAGGGGAUCUUUCUUUUUAAAGAUAUUCAGACCUCACAGAUAAGUCUGCCCUGGCCAGCCGCUCCCCAGUUCCCAGGCCCUAUCCUGACAAUGGCCACCACUUCAGAGCAGCUGAAACCUGCUGUGAGUGAAAAAUGAGAAGCUGUUGUUUUAAUUUUACUUUCUCUGAUUACUAAUGAGGUUAUUUCUUCUCUGCAUAAAAACUUCAUUCGUGUUUAAUUGGAUUUUUGUCUUUUUGUUAAUGUAUAGGACCUCCUUUUGUUCUUACAUAUAUUAUGAAUUCAAACUCUUGUAGAUAAAGAUUAAUGUUUAGAGGCAAAAUCAUGGUUCUCAUACAAAAUAAAAAUUGAACACACCUAA
Molecule: long non-coding RNA, 2344 nt
Organism: Macaca mulatta (Rhesus monkey)
Lineage: Eukaryota; Metazoa; Chordata; Mammalia; Primates; Cercopithecidae
Source: RefSeq, a predicted model, not a curated record